Molecule: non-coding RNA, 54 nt
Organism: Salmo salar (Atlantic salmon)
Lineage: Eukaryota; Metazoa; Chordata; Actinopteri; Salmoniformes; Salmonidae
Source: Rfam
AGUAAGAUGAACUGUAAGUCGCUCUGGAUAAGAGCGUCUGCUAAAUGACUAAAA